UACGAAGGGGGCUAGCGUUGCUCGGAAUCACUGGGCGUAAAGCGCACGUAGGCGGUUCGUUAAGUCGGAUGUGAAAGCCCUCGGCUCAACUGAGGAAGUGCACCCGAAACUGGCGAGCUUGAGUACGAAAGAGGAUCGCGGAAUUCCCGGUGUAGAGGUGAAAUUCGUAGAUAUCGGGAGGAACACCGGUGGCGAAGGCGGCGAUCUGGGUCGAUACUGACGCUGAGGUGCGAAAGCGUGGGGAGCAAACAGG
RNAcentral lists this ribosomal RNA (253 nucleotides) under uncultured bacterium. Its description in RNAcentral is "partial 16S ribosomal RNA". It matches the Rfam family "Bacterial small subunit ribosomal RNA", at positions 524 to 776 of the family's 1533-position model. The record is from RNAcentral.